This 497-nucleotide ribosomal RNA is filed under the name uncultured bacterium. RNAcentral describes it as "partial 16S ribosomal RNA". It matches the Rfam family "Bacterial small subunit ribosomal RNA", at positions 28 to 507 of the family's 1533-position model. The record is from RNAcentral.
GAUGAACGCUGGCGGCGUGCCUAAUACAUGCAAGUCGAGCGAACAGACGAGGAGCUUGCUCCUCUGACGUUAGCGGCGGACGGGUGAGUAACACGUGGAUAACCUACCUAUAAGACUGGGAUAACUUCGGGAAACCGGAGCUAAUACCGGAUAAUAUAUUGAACCGUAUGGUUCAAUAGUGAAAGACGGUUUUGCUGUCACUUAUAGAUGGAUCCGCGCCGCAUUAGCUAGUUGGUAAGGUAACGGCUUACCAAGGCAACGAUGCGUAGCCGACCUGAGAGGGUGAUCGGCCACACUGGAACGGAGACACGGUCCAGACUCCUACGGGAGGCAGCAGUAGGGAACCUUCCGCAAUGGGCGAAAGCCUGACGGAGCAACGCCGCGUGAGUGAUGAAGGUCUUCGGAUCGUAAAACUCUGUUAUUAGGGAAGAACAAAUGUGUAAGUAACUAUGCACGUCUUGACGGUACCUAAUCAGAAAGCCACGGCUAACUACGUG